This 341-nucleotide long non-coding RNA is filed under the name Elaeis guineensis (African oil palm). RNAcentral's name for it is "long non-coding RNA (EGUI_LNC025451)". Lineage: Eukaryota; Viridiplantae; Streptophyta; Magnoliopsida; Arecales; Arecaceae. The record is from RNAcentral.
UUCAGACUUAUUCCAUCUAUCACCAACCCUUUGACAUUCAAGGCCAUCCAUUAUUUUAAAAAAUCCAACGGGCAAUCGAUUUAUCAACGUGUCAAGCCACCGACCGUCUGAUGAAAGUUGACGGCAGCCCGACAGUGACCCUCUAGCAGGAAUACCCCAACUCCCUUCUAAUUUUCUGCUCAUCAUCAGCACUAAUUAUGCUAUAGUUUCCUUCCUAUUCCCUUAAUCCUUUCUCUAAGUACACUGUUAUCUACUUUACAAGUAACUAACUCAAGCACCCAGGAAAACUUGGCGAGGAAUUGGCGUAGCAUCCGGGGACGUGUGCUCGACGCCAUCCCAUC